UGAGGAAUUUUGCGCAAUGGGGGAAACCCUGACGCAGCAACGCCGCGUGAGUGAUGAAGGCCUUCGGGUCGUAAAGCUCUGUCAGGCGGGAAGAAAGUGUUCCGUGUUAAUAACACGGGAUAUUGACGGUACCGCCGAAGGAAGCACCGGCUAACUCCGUGCCAGCAGCCGCGGUAAUACGGAGGGUGCAAGCGUUAUUCGGAUUUAUUGGGCGUAAAGGGCGCGCAGGCGGCUUUUUAAGUCAGAUGUGAAAACCCCCGGCUGAACCGGGGAAGUGCAUUGGAAACUGGGAAGCUUGAGGAUGGGAGAGGAAAUCGGAAUUCCUGGUGUAGCGGUGAAAUGCGUAGAUAGCAGGAGGAACACCGGUGGCGAAGGCGGAUUUCCGGACCAAUACUGACGCUGAGGCGCGAAGGUGCGGGGAGCAAACA
Molecule: ribosomal RNA, 428 nt
Filed under: uncultured prokaryote
Description: bacterial SSU rRNA
Rfam family: Bacterial small subunit ribosomal RNA
Source: RNAcentral